GCGUUGAGACUGCAGCGACUCUGGAUGAUAGCGGCGCGUUGCCACGUGGUAAAAAUUCAAGACACUACUGCCCCUCGUUCUACCGUCGCAAUUAAGGGGCAAUGACGGAGGGAAUUGCAUAUUCUCUCGUCGCGGUUUUCCCAUUCUACUCAUUAGUAACUCUUUGCUGGCGUUGGAACUGAAGGGAAGAAAGCCGAAAUGGGAUUACGUUGUUCCAUUUCCGAGCACAGUCGGCUUGUUCGCGUUCUACGAAAACGAGGGAAAGGGGGCCGAGCUCUAUUUCGCGGAUUGAUAAACAACCAGCGAUUUUUUAUUGGACGUUCUUGCGGGAUAUUAAUAGCACUUGCGAAAGAAGAUUAAAAGAGGAGAACCGGAGGGGAAAUUUAUCGCCCACUAGCUUAUAUCCUCUUUGAAACGGCGGGACAAUGGAUUUUUCUAUUGUUACAUGUUGAACACGAUUUAACUGGCGACAAAUUUCACAUUGCCUGUUCUAAAGAGCUCUGGAUUUUAGAAAUUAAUCGCCAGAAAGUAUCUCUUAGAUACUAACGCGGAAAAAUGGAACGGCGCGCCUUUUCUUUCUUGCAAUCUCAGCUGCUACGUAAAUUCUUCAAAAAUCUUUG
RNAcentral lists this unclassified non-coding RNA (620 nucleotides) under Bombus terrestris (buff-tailed bumblebee). Its description in RNAcentral is "misc RNA ENSBTSG00005019658.1". The record is from RNAcentral. Lineage: Eukaryota; Metazoa; Arthropoda; Insecta; Hymenoptera; Apidae.